This 253-nucleotide ribosomal RNA is filed under the name uncultured bacterium. Its description in RNAcentral is "partial 16S ribosomal RNA". It matches the Rfam family "Bacterial small subunit ribosomal RNA", at positions 524 to 776 of the family's 1533-position model. The record is from RNAcentral.
UACGGAGGAUCCAAGCGUUGUCCGGAUUUAUUGGGUUUAAAGGGUGCGUAGGCGGAUAAAUUAGUCAGAGGUGAAAGCCGGUAGCUCAACUAUCGAAUUGCCUUUGAAACUGUUUAUCUUGAGUUUUGUUGAGGUAGGCGGAAUGUAUCAUGUAGCGGUGAAAUGCUUAGAUAUGAUACAGAACACCGAUUGCGAAGGCAGCUUACUAAGCAAUAACUGACGCUGAGGCACGAAAGCGUGGGGAUCAAACAGG